GGGGGCGACUGGUUUCGACAUAUUGGUUUUGACAAGGGAAGCAGGUCGUGGUCUCCUCGCCACGUUAAACAGGGGUACCGUCAAAGUAAUUGACAACAGGCAAUAUGCCCUCGCAGCCUGAUAGUGCUGCGACGUCAACUCAGUGGAGUUCCCCGACACUGACGCGACGACACUCAGGGGAAUGCUCUGCACCACGUAGUUGGUAUGGGUACAGAAAAGAUUGAACCAGCUGGAAGGCGGAAGGCCUGUUCGUGAGCCCGCCGCUGUUUGAGACUUAAUCAGGAACUGAGCCUGGAGAUGCCUUUUGAAGAGCCGAUAUGGACCGGAGUUCGAUUCUCCGCGCCUCCACCA
Molecule: transfer-messenger RNA, 351 nt
Filed under: Coriobacteriales bacterium
Lineage: Bacteria; Bacillati; Actinomycetota; Coriobacteriia; Coriobacteriales
Rfam family: transfer-messenger RNA
About the family: Bacterial tmRNA, also known as 10Sa RNA or SsrA, is named for its dual tRNA and mRNA-like properties. Its role is to liberate the mRNA from a stalled ribosome.
Source: RNAcentral